RNAcentral lists this ribosomal RNA (253 nucleotides) under uncultured bacterium. Its description in RNAcentral is "partial 16S ribosomal RNA". It matches the Rfam family "Bacterial small subunit ribosomal RNA", at positions 524 to 776 of the family's 1533-position model. The record is from RNAcentral.
UACGUAGGGGGCUAGCGUUGUCCGGAUUUAUUGGGCGUAAAGAGCGUGUAGGCGGCCAGGUAGGUCUGGUGUGAAAACUCGAGGCUUAACCUCGAGAUGUCAUCGGAAACCAUCUGGCUAGAGUCCGGAAGAGGAGAGUGGAAUUCCUGGUGUAGCGGUGAAAUGCGUAGAGAUCAUGAGGAAGACCAGUGGCGAAGGCGGGUCUCUGGACAGUUCCUGACACUGAGACACGAAGGCCAGGGGAGCAAACGGG